GGGGCAGCGGGGAGUAGCAAUACUUCGCCGGCGACCGGGCGCACGGGUGAGUAACACGUGUGCAACCAACCCCGUACCGGGAGAUAACCCGCGGAAACGUGGACUAACAUCCCAUAAGACUCUAGAGCCGCAUGGCUCUGGAUUUAAAAUUCCGGUGGUACGGGACGGGCACGCGCGACAUUAGGUAGUUGGCGGGGUAACGGCCCACCAAGCCGACGAUGUCUAGGGGUUCUGAGAGGAAGGUCCCCCACACUGGAACUGAGACACGGUCCAGACUCCUACGGGAGGCAGCAGUGAGGAAUAUUGGUCAAUGGGCGAGAGCCUGAACCAGCCAAGUCGCGUGAGGGAAGAAUGGUCUAUGGCCUGUAAACCUCUUUUGUCAAGGAAGAAUAAAAGGUACGUGUACCUUCUUGCCAGUACUUGACGAAUAAGCAUCGGCUAACUCCGUGCCAGCAGCCGCGGUAAUACGGGGGAUGCGAGCGUUAUCCGGAUUUAUUGGGUUUAAAGGGCGCGUAGGCGGGACGCCAAGUCAGCGGUAAAAGACUGCAGCUAAACUGUAGCACGCCGUUGAAACUGGCGACCUCGAGACGAGACGAGGGAGGCGGAACAAGUGAAGUAGCGGUGAAUGCUUAGAUAUCACUUGGAACCCCGAUAGCGAAGGCAGCUUCCCAGGCUCGAUCUGACGCUGAUGCGC
Molecule: ribosomal RNA, 694 nt
Filed under: uncultured Bacteroidales bacterium
Lineage: Bacteria; Pseudomonadati; Bacteroidota; Bacteroidia; Bacteroidales
Description: bacterial SSU rRNA
Rfam family: Bacterial small subunit ribosomal RNA
Source: RNAcentral